UGCGUAGGCGGCUAUGUAAGUCAGAAGUGAAAGCUCUCAGCUCAACUGAGGAAUUGCUUUUGAUACUGCAUAGCUUGAAUAAGGUUGAGGUCGGCGGAAUGUGGCAUGUAGCGGUGAAAUGCAUAGAUAUGCCAUAGAACACCGAUUGCGAAGGCAGCUGACUAGACCUUUAUUGACGCUGAGGCACGAAAGCGUGGGGAGCGAACAGGAUUAGAUACCCUGGUAGUCC
Molecule: ribosomal RNA, 229 nt
Filed under: uncultured bacterium
Lineage: Bacteria
Description: partial 16S ribosomal RNA
Rfam family: Bacterial small subunit ribosomal RNA
Source: RNAcentral